Molecule: ribosomal RNA, 736 nt
Filed under: Streptomyces sp.
Lineage: Bacteria; Bacillati; Actinomycetota; Actinomycetes; Kitasatosporales; Streptomycetaceae
Description: bacterial SSU rRNA
Rfam family: Bacterial small subunit ribosomal RNA
Source: RNAcentral
CGAUGAACCGGCUUCGGCCGGGGAUUAGUGGCGAACGGGUGAGUAACACGUGGGCAAUCUGCCCUGCACUCUGGGACAAGCCCUGGAAACGGGGUCUAAUACCGGAUACGACCAUCUUGGGCAUCUUUGAUGGUGGAAAGCUCCGGCGGUGCAGGAUGAGCCCGCGGCCUAUCAGCUUGUUGGUGAGGUAAUGGCUCACCAAGGCGACGACGGGUAGCCGGCCUGAGAGGGCGACCGGCCACACUGGGACUGAGACACGGCCCAGACUCCUACGGGAGGCAGCAGUGGGGAAUAUUGCACAAUGGGCGCAAGCCUGAUGCAGCGACGCCGCGUGAGGGAUGACGGCCUUCGGGUUGUAAACCUCUUUCAGCAGGGAAGAAGCGCAAGUGACGGUACCUGCAGAAGAAGCGCCGGCUAACUACGUGCCAGCAGCCGCGGUAAUACGUAGGGCGCGAGCGUUGUCCGGAAUUAUUGGGCGUAAAGAGCUCGUAGGCGGCUUGUCGCGUCGGUUGUGAAAGCCCGGGGCUUAACCCCGGGUCUGCAGUCGAUACGGGCAGGCUAGAGUUCGGUAGGGGAGAUCGGAAUUCCUGGUGUAGCGGUGAAAUGCGCAGAUAUCAGGAGGAACACCGGUGGCGAAGGCGGAUCUCUGGGCCGAUACUGACGCUGAGGAGCGAAAGCGUGGGGAGCGAACAGGAUUAGAUACCCUGGUAGUCCACGCCGUAAACGGUGGGCACUA